RNAcentral lists this non-coding RNA (27 nucleotides) under Homo sapiens (human). The record is from RNAcentral. Lineage: Eukaryota; Metazoa; Chordata; Mammalia; Primates; Hominidae.
UCAUCUUGCCUGAGCUCUACCUGGACC